RNAcentral lists this ribosomal RNA (253 nucleotides) under uncultured bacterium. RNAcentral describes it as "partial 16S ribosomal RNA". It matches the Rfam family "Bacterial small subunit ribosomal RNA", at positions 524 to 776 of the family's 1533-position model. The record is from RNAcentral.
UACAGAGGUCCCAAGCGUUGUUCGGAUUCACUGGGCGUAAAGGGUGCGUAGGUGGUGAGGUAAGUCGGAUGUGAAAGCUCCGAGCUCAACUCGGAAAUGGCAUUGGAAACUACCUUGCUGGAGGGUUUGAGGGGGGACUGGAAUACUUGGUGUAGCAGUGAAAUGCGUAGAUAUCAAGUAGAACACCAGUGGCGAAGGCGAGUCCCUGGAAAACACCUGACACUGAGGCACGAAAGCUAGGGGAGCAAACAGG